RNAcentral lists this ribosomal RNA (486 nucleotides) under uncultured bacterium. RNAcentral describes it as "bacterial SSU rRNA". It matches the Rfam family "Bacterial small subunit ribosomal RNA", at positions 29 to 490 of the family's 1533-position model. The record is from RNAcentral.
AACGAACGCUGGUGGCGUGUCUUAACACAUGCAAGUCGCACGCGAAAGGGACUUCGGUCCCGAGUAGAGUGGCGCACGGGUGAGUAACGCGUAAGUAAUCUACCCCUGUAUCUGGAAUAACCCACCGAAAGGUGAGCUAAUACCGGAUACGUUUAUCUUGAUGCGAAUGAUGAUAAAGAAAGGUGGCCUCUUCAUGAAAGCUACCGUACAGGGACGAGCUUGCGUACCAUUAGCUGGUUGGUAGGGUAAUGGCCUACCAAGGCGACGAUGGUUAGCGGGUCUGAGAGGAUGAUCCGCCACACUGGAACUGAAACACGGACCAGACUCCUACGGGAGGCAGCAGUGAGGAAUAUUGCGCAAUGGGGGCAACCCUGACGCAGCGACGCCGCGUGGACGAUGAAGGCCCUUGGGUCGUAAAAUCCUGUCAGAUGGAAAGAAAUGUACAGGUGUUAAUAUCGCCUGUAUUUGACGGUACCAUCAAAGAAG